UACGAGUGCCCCCGAGCGUUAUCCGGAAUUAUUGGGCGUAAAGGGUGUGUAGGCGGUUUUGUUAGUCUUUUGUUAAAGCUCCCGGCUUAACCGGGAAAGUGCAAAAGAAACGGCAAAACUGGAGGGUGCAAGAGGCUUAUGGAACUCAUGGUGUAGGGGUGAAAUCCGUUAAUAUCAUGGGGAACACCGAAGGCGAAGGCAGUAAGCUGGUGCACAUCUGACGCUGAAAACACGAAAGCGUAGGUAGCGAAU
Molecule: ribosomal RNA, 252 nt
Filed under: uncultured bacterium
Lineage: Bacteria
Description: partial 16S ribosomal RNA
Rfam family: Bacterial small subunit ribosomal RNA
Source: RNAcentral